Molecule: transfer RNA, 72 nt
Filed under: Ornithorhynchus anatinus (platypus)
Lineage: Eukaryota; Metazoa; Chordata; Mammalia; Monotremata; Ornithorhynchidae
Rfam family: tRNA
About the family: Transfer RNA (tRNA) molecules are approximately 80 nucleotides in length. Their secondary structure includes four short double-helical elements and three loops (D, anti-codon, and T loops). Further hydrogen bonds mediate the characteristic L-shaped molecular structure. tRNAs have two regions of fundamental functional importance: the anti-codon, which is responsible for specific mRNA codon recognition, and the 3' end, to which the tRNAs corresponding amino acid is attached (by aminoacyl-tRNA synthetases). tRNAs cope with the degeneracy of the genetic code in two manners: having more than one tRNA (with a specific anti-codon) for a particular amino acid; and 'wobble' base-pairing, i.e. permitting non-standard base-pairing at the 3rd anti-codon position.
Source: Rfam by way of RNAcentral
AGCAGCGUGGCCUAGUGGAAAAAGCACCGGCCUGGGUGUCAGAGGACCUGGGUUCUAAUCCCAGCUCUGCCA